This 465-nucleotide ribosomal RNA is filed under the name uncultured bacterium. RNAcentral's name for it is "bacterial SSU rRNA". It matches the Rfam family "Bacterial small subunit ribosomal RNA", at positions 329 to 792 of the family's 1533-position model. The record is from RNAcentral.
CUCCAGACUCCUACGGGAGGCAGCAGUGAGGAAUAUUGGUCAAUGGGCGCGAGCCUGAACCAGCCAAGUCGCGUGAGGGAAGACGGCCCUAUGGAUUGUAAACCUCUUUUGUCGGGGAGCAAAAGACGCCACGCGUGGCGCUCCGAGAGUACCCGAAGAAAAAGCAUCGGCUAACUCCGUGCCAGCAGCCGCGGUAAUACGGAGGAUGCGAGCGUUAUCCGGAUUUAUUGGGUUUAAAGGGUGCGCAGGCGGAAGAUCAAGUUAGGGGUAAAAUUGAGAGGCUCAACCUCUUCGAGCCGUUGAAACUGGCUUGCUAGAGUGGGCGAGAAGUAUGCGGAAUGCGUGGUGUAGCGGUGAAAUGCAUAGAUAUCACGCAGAACUCCGAUUGCGAAGGCAGCAUACCGGCGCUCAACUGACGCUCAUGCACGAAAGUGUGGGUAUCGAACAGGAUUAGAUACCCCUGUA